This is a non-coding RNA of Melanotaenia boesemani (Boeseman's rainbowfish), 1373 nucleotides long. The record is from the annotation of a RefSeq genome assembly. NCBI's taxonomy places the organism in Eukaryota, Metazoa, Chordata, Actinopteri, Atheriniformes, Melanotaeniidae.
CUUCAUAUGCUGUGACGUCUUUACUCUUUCCAUAUUAGAAUUUUGUAACAAACAGAGCUAAAUCUGCUUUAGACACAGAGCCAAAAUGAUUAUAUUUCUCAUUUUUCUUCACCUUACAGGAUUUUCUCUGCAGAUUCAGAUCUAUCAGUCUCCCACUGACGUCCUCAGAAAGACAAAUGAAGAAGCUGAGCUCUUCUGCACACACGGGCAGGCAGACUACGGAGUGAUGCUGUGGUACCAGCAAACACCUGGAAACACAGCUCUGAAACUCAUUGGAUAUGGAUAUAGACAGUUCUAUAAUGAAAGCGUGGAAAUGCCAUUUAGAAAACAUUUUAGGUUAGCUGGAGAUUUGAAUGGAAAAAAGAUAUAUGGUUCACUUUCUAUAAUGGGACUAAAUGCGUCUGAACAUACAGGGACUUACUUCUGUGCAGCCAGAGAAGCACACUACAUCAAACAGCCGUACUCUCCGAACAAAAACCUCCUCCUACGGCCUCUUAUAUCUUGACUCUGAAUGUAGGUUAAAGAGUAACCUCCCCUCCUCUCACUCACCACCGCAGACAUGUGGGAGACACCAUGUUUUGUGGUAUUACUUUACUUACCAGCCUUGUUUAUCACCAAAGAUCUUAACAAUCAUGUUUUCAGCUGUUUGACACCUUUUCCUGAAUGUUGCCACGAUUUUUCUUCCUCAUUUUCAUGUAUAGAGUGAAGACAAUGAGGCGCAGACUAAUUAAAGUAAACUUUGCUAAAGCAAGCAAGCAUCUCUCAGCAUGAUCUCAUGCGCUAGAUCUCGUCGCAUCACUUCCUGUUCCUCAUUUUGCUUCACAAGGCAGAGAUUCUGUUUGCUGGUUAGUUUUCAACAUGAAGCCUUCUUGUCUCAUCAUCGUCAUCAUCGCUGUGUUUUGGAUUAAAGGAGUCUUCCUCAGUGAAGAUAAAAAAGUGUUUCAGUCUCCAUCUGAGCUGCUGGUGGAACCAAACACUGAGGUCAACCUGACCUGCACACAUAAAAUCCAGAGUUAUGACACCAUUCUCUGGUACCAGCGUUCACCAGGAGACACUUCCCUCAAGCUGAUUGGCUACAUGUCCUAUAAAAAUCCCAACAUGGAAUCAGCGUUUAAAGACACCUUUAACGUGAGUGGAGAUGGAGAGAAUACGGCUUAUCUUCACAUCCUGAACCCCAGACACCCUGAAGACACUGGAGAAUAUUUUGGUGUAGCUCGUAUGCACAGUGAUAAAGAGACCGAUUCUCCCGUACAAAAACCUUCAGAAUCAUCCAGAUAUCAGGAAACCACAGAGACCAUGUGGCACAGUGUCAAAGCUGUGAGAAUCAGGCUGUGUUAUAACUGAAAAACAUUUACAGAAUUAAAGAAAAUAAA